RNAcentral lists this ribosomal RNA (491 nucleotides) under uncultured bacterium. RNAcentral describes it as "partial 16S ribosomal RNA". It matches the Rfam family "Bacterial small subunit ribosomal RNA", at positions 29 to 507 of the family's 1533-position model. The record is from RNAcentral.
AGUGAACGCUGGCGGUAGGCCUAACACAUGCAAGUCGAACGGCAGCACAGUAAGAGCUUGCUCUUACGGGUGGCGAGUGGCGGACGGGUGAGGAAUACAUCGGAAUCUACUUUUUCGUGGGGGAUAACGUAGGGAAACUUACGCUAAUACCGCAUACGACCUACGGGUGAAAGCAGGGGAUCUUCGGACCUUGCGCGAUUGAAUGAGCCGAUGUCGGAUUAGCUAGUUGGCGGGGUAAAGGCCCACCAAGGCGACGAUCCGUAGCUGGUCUGAGAGGAUGAUCAGCCACACUGGAACUGAGACACGGUCCAGACUCCUACGGGAGGCAGCAGUGGGGAAUAUUGGACAAUGGGCGCAAGCCUGAUCCAGCCAUACCGCGUGGGUGAAGAAGGCCUUCGGGUUGUAAAGCCCUUUUGUUGGGAAAGAAAAGCAGUAGGUUAAUACCCCGCUGUUCUGACGGUACCAAAGAAUAAGCACCGGCUAACUUCGUG